UACGUAGGGUGCUAGCGUUGUUCGGAAUCAUUGGGCGUAAAGCGCGUGUAGGCGGUCAAAUAAGUCUGGUGUGAAAGCCCUGGGCUCAACCGAGGAAGUGCAUCAGAAACUAUUUGACUAGAAGACGGUAGAGGAAGGUGGAAUUCCAAGUGUAGAGGCGAAAUUCGUAGAUAUUUGGAGGAAUACCGGUGGCGAAGGCGGCCUUCUGGGCCGAUCUUGACGCUGAGACGCGAAAGCGUGGGGAGCAAACAGG
This 253-nucleotide ribosomal RNA is filed under the name uncultured bacterium. Its description in RNAcentral is "partial 16S ribosomal RNA". It matches the Rfam family "Bacterial small subunit ribosomal RNA", at positions 524 to 776 of the family's 1533-position model. The record is from RNAcentral.